RNAcentral lists this unclassified non-coding RNA (334 nucleotides) under soil metagenome. RNAcentral describes it as "partial contains 5.8S ribosomal RNA, internal transcribed spacer 2, and large subunit ribosomal RNA". The stretch from base 1 to 120 matches the Rfam family "5.8S ribosomal RNA", at positions 35 to 154 of the family's 154-position model. The record is from RNAcentral.
GAUGAAGAACGCAGCGAAAUGCGAUAAGUAAUGUGAAUUGCAGAAUUCAGUGAAUCAUCGAAUCUUUGAACGCACAUUGCGCCCGCCAGUAUUCUGGCGAGUAUGCCUGUUCGAGCGUCAUUUCAACCAUCAAGCCCCAGGCUUGUGUUGGAGCCCUGCGGCUGCCGCAGCCUCCCAAAACCAGUGGCGGGCUCGCUAUCACACCGAGUGCAGUAGUUUACUCUUCGCUCAGGGCGUGUGGCGGGUGCUAGCCGUGAAACCCCCAACUUCUCAAGGUUGACCUCGGAUCAGGUAGGAAUACCCGCUGAACUUAAGCAUAUCAAUAAGCGGAGGA